This 437-nucleotide long non-coding RNA is filed under the name Canis lupus dingo (dingo). RNAcentral's name for it is "lncRNA (ENSCAFG00020018150.1)". The record is from RNAcentral. Lineage: Eukaryota; Metazoa; Chordata; Mammalia; Carnivora; Canidae.
GAACAAACGAAAAAACGAAAAAAGAACAAGAAAAAAAAGAAGAAAGAAAAAAGAAAGAGAAAAAGAAGAAGCAGAAAGAAGAAAAAGAAAAAAAAAAGAAAAAGAAGAAGAAAAAGAAAAGAAAGAAAAAAGAGAAAGAGAAAGAGACAGGAAGAGCCGAAGUUCAAGCUGCAAGCGCCCUGGAGAGGUCGGUAAAAUGCCAGGUCACAAAGGGCAGGCCUGUGGUCUUGGCAGAGGUAUCAUCCUGUGUCUGUGCGGUGGAUGCGUGACCAAGAGGGGAAAAAGAACAGGUGAGAGGAGAUGACCGCCGUGUUAGGAGCCAGAGUGAGUCUCAGGAUUGUCAUCUGUCAUUUUCCCUAUUCAAUUCUUCGGGCACCUCUGUUGUAAAGUAAGUGACCGUAUCUAUAUAUAUGAUUUUAUAUAUAUAUAUAUGAUUU